AACUUUUAACAACGGAUCACUUGGCUCUCGCAUCGAUGAAGAACGCAGCGAAAAGCGAAAUGUAAUGUGAAUUGCAGAAUCUCAGUGAAUCAUCGAAUCUUUGAACGCAUCUUGCGCCCAGUGGCAUUCCGCUGGGCAUGCCUGUCUGAGUGUCCAUUUAAACCUCAACCCUCUACCUUUUAAAUUGAGCGGCUUGGAUCAUGGACUAGGUAGUGCCCCAGUCUCUGCCAGUCUUAAACGUACUAAGGUCGUAAACGUUUCGUCGACGGUUUGACCGAGUGUUGUAGUGUAUUUUGCCUCGCUCGGGACGUUGAUAACGUUGGGCCCCAAACAUGAAUAUUAUUUUUAGACCUCAGAUCAGGUAGGAUUACCCGCUGAACUUAAGCAUAUCAAUAAGCGGAGGCU
This 405-nucleotide unclassified non-coding RNA is filed under the name uncultured Basidiomycota. Its description in RNAcentral is "sequence contains ITS2". The stretch from base 1 to 155 matches the Rfam family "5.8S ribosomal RNA". The record is from RNAcentral. Lineage: Eukaryota; Fungi; Basidiomycota.